Molecule: small nucleolar RNA, 49 nt
Filed under: Pyrobaculum aerophilum str. IM2
Lineage: Archaea; Thermoproteati; Thermoproteota; Thermoprotei; Thermoproteales; Thermoproteaceae
Description: PAEsR117
Source: RNAcentral
GUGAGGAGGAUGAACCCCACUGAUUAGUGAAGAGGUCGUUGCUCGCCGA